Pelobates cultripes (western spadefoot toad) is the source of this 220-nucleotide non-coding RNA. NCBI's taxonomy places the organism in Eukaryota, Metazoa, Chordata, Amphibia, Anura, Pelobatidae. The record is from the annotation of a GenBank genome assembly.
AUGAAUGGCAAUAAUAAAAAUAAUAACUGCAGUGGCUCAAUAUCUACUACAGUAGCUUUUUAAAAUUCAUCAUAAUAUGACUAUGCAAGCUGUGUAAACUUCACGCAGCUGAUUCUUAUAAACUCGUCCAUCAUAUACAGUUUUAAUUAAGGACCUGGGGCAAUAUUUAUAAUUAAUACAGGAUUGGAUUGUGCAUUUUAUCCCAGCUUGCCCGUCAAUG